GGAGAGAUGGCUCAGCCGUUAAGAGCACUGACUGUUACUCCAGAAGGCCUGGGUUCAAUUCCCCGCAUUCCCA
RNAcentral lists this transfer RNA (73 nucleotides) under Neotoma lepida (desert woodrat). It matches the Rfam family "tRNA". Rfam says of the family: Transfer RNA (tRNA) molecules are approximately 80 nucleotides in length. Their secondary structure includes four short double-helical elements and three loops (D, anti-codon, and T loops). Lineage: Eukaryota; Metazoa; Chordata; Mammalia; Rodentia; Cricetidae. The record is from Rfam by way of RNAcentral.